UACGUAGGGUGCAGGCGUUAAUCGGAAUUACUGGGCGUAAAGCGUGCGCAGGCGGUUAUGCAAGACAGAUGUGAAAUCCCCGGGCUUAACCUGGGAACCGCAUUUGUGACUGCAUAGCUGGAGUACGGCAGAGGGGGAUGGAAUUCCGCGUGUAGCAGUGAAAUGCGUAGAUAUGCGGAGGAACACCGAUGGCGAAGACAGUCCCCUGGGCCUGUACUGACGCUCAUGCACGAAAGCGUGGGGAGCAAACAGG
This 253-nucleotide ribosomal RNA is filed under the name uncultured bacterium. Its description in RNAcentral is "partial 16S ribosomal RNA". It matches the Rfam family "Bacterial small subunit ribosomal RNA", at positions 524 to 776 of the family's 1533-position model. The record is from RNAcentral.